AGAGUUUGAUCAUGGCUCAGAACGAACGCUGGCGGCGUGGAUAAGACAUGCAAGUCGAACGAGCUUAGUUUUGUAGCAAUACAGAGCUGAGCGAGUGGCGAACGGGUGCGUAACACGUGAGCAAUCUACCUUAAAGUGGGGGAUAGCUCGCCGAAAGGCGAAUUAAUACCGCAUGUGGUUGUAAAACCAAAGCCGGGGCAACCUGGCGCUUUUAGAGGAGCUCGCGGCCUAUCAGCUUGUUGGUGAGGUAACGGCUCACCAAGGCUUCGACGGGUAGCUGGUCUGAGAGGACGACCAGCCACACUGGAACUGAGACACGGUCCAGACACCUACGGGUGGCAGCAGUCGAGAAUUUUUCUCAAUGGGGGAAACCCUGAAGGAGCGACGCCGCGUGGAGGAUGAAUGCUUUCGGGUUGUAAACUCCUGUCAUUUGGGAACAAAGCCUUACGUUAACUGCGUGGAGGUUUGCUAGUACCAGAAGAGGAAGGGACGGCUAACUCUGUGCCAGCAGCCGCGGUAAUACAGAGGUCUCAAGCGUUGUUCGGAUUCAUUGGGCGUAAAGGGCGCGUAGGCGGCGGGGUAAGUCGGGUGUGAAAUCUCAGAGCUCAACUCUGAAACUGCACUCGAUACUGCUUUGCUCGAGGACUGGAGAGGAGAUUGGAAUUCACGGUGUAGCAGUGAAAUGCGUAGAGAUCGUGAGGAAGACCAGUGGCGAAGGCGGAUCUCUGGACAGUUCCUGACGCUGAGGCGCGAAGGCCAGGGGAGCAAACGGGAUUAGAUACCCCGGUAGUCCUGGCAGUAAACGGUGCACGUUUGGUGUGCGCGGAUUCGACCCCGUGCGUGCCGGAGCUAACGCGUUAAACGUGCCGCUGAGGAGUACGGUCGCAAGAUUAAAACUCAAAGAAAUUGACGGGGGCCCCGCACAAGCGGUGGAGUAUGUGGC
This 943-nucleotide ribosomal RNA is filed under the name uncultured bacterium. RNAcentral's name for it is "bacterial SSU rRNA". It matches the Rfam family "Bacterial small subunit ribosomal RNA", at positions 8 to 945 of the family's 1533-position model. The record is from RNAcentral.